Molecule: transfer RNA, 72 nt
Filed under: Heliconius melpomene (postman butterfly)
Lineage: Eukaryota; Metazoa; Arthropoda; Insecta; Lepidoptera; Nymphalidae
Description: tRNA HMEL006908
Rfam family: tRNA
About the family: Transfer RNA (tRNA) molecules are approximately 80 nucleotides in length.
Source: RNAcentral
CAACGUAUGGCUUAGUGGUCAGAGCGCUUGGAAGGUUUUCAAGAGGAACAGGUUCAAAACCUGCUACUUUUA